RNAcentral lists this ribosomal RNA (500 nucleotides) under Pedioplanis breviceps. Its description in RNAcentral is "partial 16S ribosomal RNA". It matches the Rfam family "Bacterial large subunit ribosomal RNA", at positions 1861 to 2618 of the family's 2925-position model. Lineage: Eukaryota; Metazoa; Chordata; Lepidosauria; Squamata; Lacertidae. The record is from RNAcentral.
GCCCAGUGACUCUCUUAAACGGCCGCGGUAUCCUAACCGUGCAAAGGUAGCAUAAUCACUUGUCCCCUAAAUAGGGACUCGUAUGAACGGUCAAAUGAGGACUAAACUGUCUCUUACAUUCAACCAAUAAAACUGAUCUUUCAGUCAAAAAGCUGGAAUAAAAACACAAGACGAGAAGACCCUGUGGAGCUUUAAACCGAGCUCAAUCCCCAUGUCCACUCGGUUUUUAGUUGGGGCGACUUCGGAGUAUAAAAAACCCUCCGACAAAAAUAUAUCAAGACCAACAUGUCAACAUAUUUGACCUGACCCAGUAGCCCCCGAGCUAUCUGAUCAAUGAACCAAGUUACCCCAGGGAUAACAGCGCCAUCCCCUUUCAGAGUCCAUAUCGACAAGGGGGUUUACGACCUCGAUGUUGGAUCAGGACACCCAAAUAGUGCAGCCGCUAUUAAAGGUUCGUUUGUUCAACGAUUAAAGUCCUACGUGAUCUGAGGUUCAGACCG